GGCUCAUUAUAUAAGUUAUCGUUUAUUUGAUAGUACCUUACUACUUGGAUAACCGUGGUAAUUCUAGAGCUAAUACAUGCUAAAAAUCCCGACUUCGGAAGGGAUGUAUUUAUUAGAUUAAAAACCAAUGCCCUCUGGGCUCUCUGGUGAUUCAUGAUAACUUCUCGAAUCGCAUGGCCUUGCGCCGGCGAUGGUUCAUUCAAAUUUCUUCCCUAUCAACUUUCGAUGUUUGGGUAGUGGCCAAACAUGGUUGCAACGGGUAACGGAGGGUUAGGGCUCGACCCCGGAGAAGGAGCCUGAGAAACGGCUACUACAUCCAAGGAAGGCAGCAGGCGCGCAAAUUACCCAAUCCCGAUUCGGGGAGGUAGUGACAAUAAAUACUGAUACAGGGCUCUUUUGGGUCUUGUAAUUGGAAUGAGUACAAUUUAAAUCCCUUAACGAGGAACAAUUGGAGGGCAAGUCUGGUGCCAGCAGCCGCGGUAAUUCCAGCUCCAAUAGCGUAUAUUAAAGUUGUUGUGGUUAAAAAGCUCGUAGUUGAACCUUGGGCCUGGUUGGCCGGUCCGCCUCACCGCGUGUACUGGUCCGGCCGGGCCUUUCCCUCUGUGGAACC
RNAcentral lists this ribosomal RNA (610 nucleotides) under Metapochonia bulbillosa. RNAcentral's name for it is "SSU rRNA". It matches the Rfam family "Eukaryotic small subunit ribosomal RNA", at positions 95 to 709 of the family's 1831-position model. RNAcentral also lists the same sequence under 1 other name. The record is from RNAcentral. Lineage: Eukaryota; Fungi; Ascomycota; Sordariomycetes; Hypocreales; Clavicipitaceae.